Molecule: long non-coding RNA, 1146 nt
Filed under: Anser cygnoides (Swan goose)
Lineage: Eukaryota; Metazoa; Chordata; Aves; Anseriformes; Anatidae
Description: lncRNA (ENSACDG00005003438.1)
Source: RNAcentral
GGUGGCCAUUUUAUUCUCAUUAUCAUUUAUUAUUUGAUACUUUUCUACACAAGGAAGAGAACAAUAUAUUUAGAAAGCUCUUUUUACAUAUUUUUUACCUUGUUCAGCUGCAGGAAACUGGAUGUCAUAUAUAAGGAUUUUUUUUUGUUGGUGGUGGUUAUGGGAGAGUGCCCAAGCAUUUUCAAUGUUGGAUACAUAAAGUCACUUUUAUAUUUCAGGUUAAGACAGGAACCACUCCGACAAGCUUUGUCAAUGAUUUGCUAUAGGUCAACAAUUUCUUCUAUAUUCAUCUAAUGCAAAAUUGUUAGCACUACUGUGCAUCCAUGCAUCCCAUGAGGAUGUGACAUACAGCCGCUGCUUACAGUGUUGGCACCAGUGGCAGAUAUUUUGAUAUCUGAGGCAAGUUUAUUGAAUUUAUAAGGGAACGUGGCCUUCAUGACAGUACUAGUGUAGCCCCAGAGUACCAGCUCAGCAUACUGCAUCAUUGUCACCCCUCGCCCUGGAACCAGGGCAUAAACACUUGGUGCCAUGGUGCAAAUAGAGCCUGUCUCCUACCAGCCCUUCUGAGCAACAUAAACUCUUUGGUUGGUGCAAUAUCCUCCUGCAGACUAAGUCUCUGCUGCAUUUUUAAGGGCUGUGAACGAGCACCUUUGAUACUGCCACCAGAGGAUAAUGCAACAGUUCCUGGAUUUGUUGAUAUUGGCCAACCAGACUCAUUUGUGGUGAUAAGUUUUGUGGACUAGACACAAGUACACAUUAAACCAGACGACACAGAUGACAUCAGACUCACUUCUUGUAGGACAUCAAGUAACCAACAGAUGAUAAUUUCCAAUAACGAUUAAUCUGCUCUGGAAUUUAAUAGGGGAACUAAAGUGGAAGAACACCAGUAUGUGAGAUCUCUAGUUGUGUCUUUUGUCCACCCUUGAUUGCAGCAAUUUUUCCCUACCUUUAGAUGUUUCCAGAAUCUUAUUGAAUAUGCAUACGAGACCGUGAUAUACACAGCAAGAUGGCAUAUCGUAAGUGGACUUUUGGCUAAAUUACUAUAUUCAAUCACUGUUGAAAUCACUGAAAGAAAAACAGAACUCAGUAGUGCAAUAUUAGCAAAAGGCCUCCCACCCCUGCAAUAAAUGAAAUACUUUUCUCUCA